Nasonia vitripennis (jewel wasp) is the source of this 1145-nucleotide long non-coding RNA. RefSeq lists it as uncharacterized. The transcript is spliced from 2 exons. NCBI's taxonomy places the organism in Eukaryota, Metazoa, Arthropoda, Insecta, Hymenoptera, Pteromalidae. The record is from RefSeq and is a predicted model, not a curated record.
UUUCAAGUAAUCUCAUAUACCCCUUAUACAAAUUUGCCAUUAUAAAUUAAAACUACUGGGCAAAUAACUGCAGGCUCCAUUAGCGGAAAUAACUAUAUAUCGAAACACCGUGUAUGCGUGUAUAUAGUAAAGCACUCUGCAGUACCAAACUUAGAUCUAUAUAUGUACCGACAAGCGAUUUACCAUGAAGGAGGGAAAUAACAAAAUUGAUAAACUGCGUUCUUAAAUGCGUAAAUAUCCUAAUUGUCUAAUUUAUUGAAUAAUCUUUUAGUUUUACAAAGCUAAAUAUAAGAUUAAAAAUGUCUUUCUAGAUGUAACUACAGAUAUACAUCUAAGAAUAAAAUAGUUUGAGUGUUAUAGAAUGUAUGUAUAAUAUUAUCAGCAUAAUUAAUGAUUUGCUUUGUUCGAAUUUUUUGGCCAAUUUUUCUGAAAAAAAAAAAAUUGAAAAUCAAAUUAAAUGAAUAAUGUUAAAUGUUAUCAACAUUUACUUGAUAAAUCAAUAAUUAAUUUACAUAGUUGAGAGGCCAAAGAUGAGUUUGACUUUGCUGAUCAGAAUUUGAAUGUUGGUUAUCUUUGAUGUUAGAAUGACUAUUUUGUUGAGAACCAUUAUUGUCUAAUCCAUCUUUGUGCAUACUUGAUAAUGCAGAUCUGUGGUUAUCAUUUGCUUCAAAAUUGAUUGUAUUAUCAGAAAUAUCAAGAGAUCUUUCAUUUUUCCAAACAUCUACCCAGGAUUCAGAGUUGUAGACUGGAUACACUGCAUACAUAACUGACCAUGGAGUAAUGUUUGAAUAAUCAAGAGUAGCAGCUUCACAAGAAACGAUGGAAAGUGCUAUGCAAGCAAUCUAAAAAUAAUGCAACAAGAAUUAUUAAAAUAAUAUACAUUGUUAUUACUCUCAAUAUUUAUGAAGUUACUGAAAAGCAAGUAAAUGCAUUCACUUACAACCAAUGAGAAAAACAUUUUCAAGCUGGUGAAAGAUGACUGACAGCAUAAAAAGAAGUGCGCUUAUUUUAUAGUCUCUGGAAGUGUAGUCAUUUAGAAAAAAAUCCACAGUACUAAGUUACAUCUUGGAUUAAAAGCCUUAUGUUUCAUUAAUCUAAAGACUGUCUCUUAUUCAAGAUCAAAUAAAAGAUGAUUAAGGAAAAUA